This 740-nucleotide ribosomal RNA is filed under the name Lactobacillus helveticus. RNAcentral describes it as "bacterial SSU rRNA". It matches the Rfam family "Bacterial small subunit ribosomal RNA", at positions 37 to 744 of the family's 1533-position model. The record is from RNAcentral. Lineage: Bacteria; Bacillati; Bacillota; Bacilli; Lactobacillales; Lactobacillaceae.
UGGCGGCGUGCCUAAUACAUGCAAGUCGAGCGAGCAGAACCAGCAGAUUUACUUCGGUAAUGACGCUGGGGACGCGAGCGGCGGAUGGGUGAGUAACACGUGGGGAACCUGCCCCAUAGUCUGGGAUACCACUUGGAAACAGGUGCUAAUACCGGAUAAGAAAGCAGAUCGCAUGAUCAGCUUAUAAAAGGCGGCGUAAGCUGUCGCUAUGGGAUGGCCCCGCGGUGCAUUAGCUAGUUGGUAAGGUAACGGCUUACCAAGGCAAUGAUGCAUAGCCGAGUUGAGAGACUGAUCGGCCACAUUGGGACUGAGACACGGCCCAAACUCCUACGGGAGGCAGCAGUAGGGAAUCUUCCACAAUGGACGCAAGUCUGAUGGAGCAACGCCGCGUGAGUGAAGAAGGUUUUCGGAUCGUAAAGCUCUGUUGUUGGUGAAGAAGGAUAGAGGUAGUAACUGGCCUUUAUUUGACGGUAAUCAACCAGAAAGUCACGGCUAACUACGUGCCAGCAGCCGCGGUAAUACGUAGGUGGCAAGCGUUGUCCGGAUUUAUUGGGCGUAAAGCGAGCGCAGGCGGAAGAAUAAGUCUGAUGUGAAAGCCCUCGGCUUAACCGAGGAACUGCAUCGGAAACUGUUUUUCUUGAGUGCAGAAGAGGAGAGUGGAAUUCCAUGUGUAGCGGUGGAAUGCGUAGAUAUAUGGAAGAACACCAGUGGCGAAGGCGACUCUCUGGUCUGCAACUGAC